RNAcentral lists this ribosomal RNA (460 nucleotides) under uncultured bacterium. RNAcentral describes it as "partial 16S ribosomal RNA". It matches the Rfam family "Bacterial small subunit ribosomal RNA", at positions 338 to 795 of the family's 1533-position model. The record is from RNAcentral.
CCUACGGGGUGCAGCAGUGAGGAAUAUUGGUCAAUGGACGCAAGUCUGAACCAGCCAUGCCGCGUGCAGGAAGACGGCUCUAUGAGUUGUAAACUGCUUUUGUACGAGGGUAAACGCAGAUACGCGUAUCUGUCUGAAAGUAUCGUACUAAUAAGGAUCGGCUAGCUCCGUGCCAGCAGCCGCGGUAAUACGGAGGAUUCAAGCGUUAUCCGGAUUUAUUGGGUUUAAAGGUUGCUUAGGCGGUCGGAUAAGUUAGAGGUGAAAUCCCGAGGCUCAACUUCGGAAUUGCCUCUGAUACUGUUCGGCUAGAGAGUAGGUGCGGUAGGCGGAAUGUAUGGUGUAGCGGUGGAAUGCGUAGAGAUCAUACAGAACACCGAUUGCGAAGGCAGCUUACCAAGCUACUUCUGACGUUGAGGCACGAAAGCGUGGGGAGCAAACAGGAUUAGAUACCCUAGUAGUC